CAGCAGCCGCGGUAAUACGGAGGGGGCUAGCGUUGUUCGGAAUUACUGGGCGUAAAGCGCACGUAGGCGGUUUGUUAAGUCUGCUGUGAAAUCCCCGGGCUCAACCUGGGAAUGGCAGUGGAUACUGGCAAGCUAGAGUGUGUCAGAGGAUGGUGGAAUUCCCGGUGUAGCGGUGAAAUGCGUAGAGAUCGGGAGGAACAUCAGUGGCGAAGGCGGCCAUCUGGGACAACACUGACGCUGAGGCACGAAAGCGUGGGGAGCAAACAGGAUUAGAUACCCCGGUAGUCCCUGUCUCUUAUAC
RNAcentral lists this ribosomal RNA (301 nucleotides) under uncultured bacterium. Its description in RNAcentral is "partial 16S ribosomal RNA". It matches the Rfam family "Bacterial small subunit ribosomal RNA", at positions 509 to 807 of the family's 1533-position model. The record is from RNAcentral.